AGUUCGAGGCCAGCCGGGGUACACAUUUU
This 29-nucleotide non-coding RNA is filed under the name Mus musculus (house mouse). Lineage: Eukaryota; Metazoa; Chordata; Mammalia; Rodentia; Muridae. The record is from RNAcentral.